This 270-nucleotide ribosomal RNA is filed under the name uncultured archaeon. RNAcentral's name for it is "partial 16S ribosomal RNA". It matches the Rfam family "Archaeal small subunit ribosomal RNA", at positions 477 to 747 of the family's 1478-position model. The record is from RNAcentral.
CAGCCCCUCGAGUGGUGGGGAUGAUUAUUUGGCCUAAAGCGUCCGUAGCCGGCCGUGUAAGUCUCCCGUUAAAUCCAGCGUCUCAAGCGUUGGACUGCGGGAGAUACUACUUGGCUAGAGAGUGGGAGAGGUCAGCGGUAUUCUGGGGGUAGGGGCGAAAUCCUUUGAUCCCCGGAGGACCACCAGUGGCGAAGGCUGCUGACUAGAACACGUCUGACGGUCAGGGACGAAAGCUGGGGUAGCGAACCGGAUUAGAUACCCGAGUAGUCC